GACGAACGCUGGCGGCGUGCUUAACACAUGCAAGUCGAACGGAAAGAGAUGAAAGAGCUUGCUCUUUUAUUAAUUUCAGUGGCAAACGGGUGAGUAACACGUAAACAACCUGCCUUAAGGAUGGGGAUAACAGACGGAAACGACUGCUAAUACCGAAUACGUUCUAAGCAUCGCAUGAUGCAUAGAAGAAAGGGUGGCCUCUACAAGAAAGCUAUCGCCUUAAGAGGGGUUUGCGACUGAUUAGGUAGUUGGUGAGGUAACGGCUCACCAAGCCGACGAUCAGUAGCCGGUCUGAGAGGAUGAACGGCCACACUGGAACUGAGACACGGUCCAGACUCCUACGGGAGGCAGCAGUGGGGAAUCUUCCGCAAUGGACGAAAGUCUGACGGAGCAACGCCGCGUGAACGAAGAAGGUCUUCGGAUUGUAAAGUUCUGUGAUUCGGGACGAAAGGGUUUGUGGUGAAUAAUCAUAGACAUUGACGGUACCGAAAAAGCAAGCCACG
Molecule: ribosomal RNA, 503 nt
Filed under: Dialister pneumosintes
Lineage: Bacteria; Bacillati; Bacillota; Negativicutes; Veillonellales; Veillonellaceae
Description: bacterial SSU rRNA
Rfam family: Bacterial small subunit ribosomal RNA
Source: RNAcentral